RNAcentral lists this ribosomal RNA (492 nucleotides) under uncultured bacterium. RNAcentral's name for it is "partial 16S ribosomal RNA". It matches the Rfam family "Bacterial small subunit ribosomal RNA", at positions 29 to 507 of the family's 1533-position model. The record is from RNAcentral.
AGUGAACGCUGGCGGUAGGCCUAACACAUGCAAGUCGAACGGCAGCACAGUAAGAGCUUGCUCUUACGGGUGGCGAGUGGCGGACGGGUGAGGAAUACAUCGGAAUCUACUUUUUCGUGGGGGAUAACGUAGGGAAACUUACGCUAAUACCGCAUACGACCUACGGGUGAAAGCAGGGGAUCUUCGGACCUUGCGCGAUUGAAUGAGCCGAUGUCGGAUUAGUUAGUUGGCGGGGUAAAGGCCCACCAAGGCGACGAUCCGUAGCUGGUCUGAGAGGAUGAUCGGCCACACUGGAACUGAGACACGGUCCAGACUCCUACGGGAGGCAGCAGUAGGGAAUAUUGGACAAUGGGCGCAAGCCUGAUCCAGCAAUGCCGCGUGGGUGAUGAAGGCCUUCGGGUUGUAAAGCCCUUUUGUUGGGAAAGAAAAACAGCAUGUUAAUACCCCGCUGUUCUGACGGUACCCAAAGAAUAAGCACCGGCUAACUUCGUG